CCUAAAUAAAGGACUAAACCAGAUGGAACCUACCCUAAUGUCUUUGGUUGGGGCGACCGCGGGGAAUUAAAAAACCCCCACGUGGAAUGGGAGCACCCCUCCUACAACUAAGAGCCACAGCUCUAGUAAACAGAAAUUCUGACCAGUAAGAUCCGGCAAUGCCGAUCAACGGACCG
RNAcentral lists this ribosomal RNA (176 nucleotides) under Zaprora silenus. Its description in RNAcentral is "partial 16S ribosomal RNA". Lineage: Eukaryota; Metazoa; Chordata; Actinopteri; Perciformes; Zaproridae. The record is from RNAcentral.